GACAGAGGGUGCAAACGUUGUUCGGAAUUACUGGGCGUAAAGCGCUCGCAGGCGGUUUCUUAAGUCUGAUGUGAAAGCCCACGGCUCAACCGUGGAGGGUCAUUGGAAACUGGGAGACUUGAGUGCAGAAGAGGAGAGUGGAAUUCCACGUGUAGCGGUGAAAUGCGUAGAGAUGUGGAGGAACACCAGUGGCGAAGGCGACUCUCUGGUCUGUAACUGACGCUGAGGAGCGAAAGCGUGGGGAGCGAACAGG
This 253-nucleotide ribosomal RNA is filed under the name uncultured bacterium. Its description in RNAcentral is "partial 16S ribosomal RNA". It matches the Rfam family "Bacterial small subunit ribosomal RNA", at positions 524 to 776 of the family's 1533-position model. The record is from RNAcentral.